This 439-nucleotide ribosomal RNA is filed under the name uncultured bacterium. Its description in RNAcentral is "partial 16S ribosomal RNA". It matches the Rfam family "Bacterial small subunit ribosomal RNA", at positions 338 to 795 of the family's 1533-position model. The record is from RNAcentral.
CCUACGGGAGGCUGCAGUGGGGGAUAUUGCACAAUGGGGGGAACCCUGAUGCAGCGACGCCGCGUGGGUGAAGAAGCGCCUCGGCGCGUGAAGCCCUGUCAGCAGGGAAGAAAAUGACGGUACCUGAAGAAGAAGCCCCGGCUAACUACGUGCCAGCAGCCGCGGUAAUACGUAGGGGGCAAGCGUUAUCCGGAUUUACUGGGUGUAAAGGGGGCGCAGACGGAUUUUUAAGUCAGCGGUAAAAUGUCCGGGCUCAACCCGGGCCGGCCGUUGAAACUGGGGAUCUUGAGUGGGCGAGAAGUAUGCGGAAUGCGUGGUGUAGCGGUGAAAUGCAUAGAUAUCACGCAGAACUCCGAUUGCGAAGGCAGCAUACCGGCGCCCGACUGACGCUGAGGCACGAAAGCGUGGGGAUCGAACAGGAUUAGAUACCCCUGUAGUC